CCCUUACACAGGUGGGUGGGUCGAGUAGACCAAGGCGCGCGAGAGAAACCUCUCUAAGGAACUCGGCAAAAUAGCCCCGUAACUUCGGGAGAAGGGGUACCCACUUCGGUGGGUCACAGUAAAUUGGGUUUAGCGACUGUUUAACAAAAACACAGCACUCUGCCAAGUUGUGAAAACAACGUAUAGGGUGUGACACGUGACCAAUGCGGAAAGAUCAAGGUGACUUGUUAGCCGCAAGGCGAAGCUCGGAGCCAAAGUCCCCGUGAAUGUCGGCCGUAACUAUAACGGUCCUAAGGUAGCGAAAUUCCUUGUCGGGUAAGUUCCGACCUGCACGAAUCGUGUAACGACUGAACCGCUGUCUCGGAGAGGAUCUCGGCGAAAUUGUAACGGCGGUGAAGAUGCCGCCUGCCCGCAGUAGGACGGAAAGACCCUAUGCACCUUUACUGUAAGCUGGUAUUGUGUUCUGAUUAAUGAUGCGUAGCGUAGGUGGGAGACUUUGAAGCCAUGGUUUCGGUUGUGGCUGAGUCGCAAUGUGAAACACCACUCUUUGUUAAUUAGGAUUCUAACCCUAUGCUGUUAGCCAGCUAGGGGACAGUGCCUGCGGGUCAGUUUGACUGGGCGGUUUCCCCCCAAAGGGUAACGGAGGAGCGCUAAGGUACUCUCAGCAUGGUUUGCAACCAUGCGUCGAGCGUAUGGGUAGAAGAGUGCUUAACUGCGAGACCAACAAGUCGAGCAGAUACGAAAGUAGGCCCAAAUGAUCCGAUGGUUGAAUAUGGAAUUGCCAUCGCUCAACGGACAAAAGGUACGCUAGGGAUAACAGGCUGAUCGGAUCCAAGAGUUCAUAUCGACGAUCCGGUUUGGCACCUUGAUGUCGGCUCAUCGCAUCCUGGGGCUGGAGAAGGUCCCAAGGGUCCGGCUGUUCGCCGGUUAAAGCGGUACGCGAGCUGGGUUCAGAACGUCGUGAGACAGUUCGGUCCUUAUCCACUGUGGGCGCAGGAAACUUGAGGGGUUCAUUCUCUAGUACGAGAGGACCGAGAAUGACGCACUUCUGGUGUGGCAGUUGUUCCGUCAGGGGCAGCGCUGCGUAGCCAUGUGCGGAAGAGAUAAGCGCUGAAAGCAUCUAAGUGCCAAGCUCAUCCCAAGAUAUUGUUUCCCGGACGCAAGUCCCUAAAGACUCCAUGUAGACCACGUGGUUGAUAGGUCAGGCGUGUAAGUGCCGCAAGGUACUCAGCGGACUGAUACUAAUUAGUCGUGCGGCUUGAUCGC
Molecule: ribosomal RNA, 1266 nt
Filed under: metagenome
Description: bacterial LSU rRNA
Rfam family: Bacterial large subunit ribosomal RNA
Source: RNAcentral